Molecule: long non-coding RNA, 1068 nt
Filed under: Falco tinnunculus (common kestrel)
Lineage: Eukaryota; Metazoa; Chordata; Aves; Falconiformes; Falconidae
Description: lncRNA (ENSFTIG00000007595.1)
Source: RNAcentral
AUGAGCUUUGCUCAGCGCCUGACCACUGCUCACCCAAUCCCCCCUGAGCCCCCGGCCCCUGGUGGGGUGGACACGAACCCCCCCUCAAGCCUUCGAGAGACACCCCACCACCCUGCUCAGCACCGCAGCCUGCUGCAAAGUUUCAUACUCCCAAAACCAUCUGCCCGCCGAGGCCACUAUCAUCUCCUGCGCCUCCUACCUCUUCACCCUCCCUUCGCUCUGAUGCGCUGCCAUGGAGGUGCCCCAGGUGGGCACCCGCUUCCCCGGGUGGGCACCCAGCCUGGACCCCAGCACCCACGAGCACAGGGCAUCCACUGCCGCGGCCCAGGGCCUCAGGGCAACCAUGGCACCAGCACCCGCCACCCAUCAGCGGCUCACCUGGGCUCCGCUGGGGCUGGUGCCAGCAGCGAUACCGAUACUGGUGCCGGCGGUGCUGCUGCCGGUGUCGGCGGUGCUGCCGAUGCCGGUGUUGGUGCCGGCGUUGAUGCUGAUGUUGGUGUCCGUGUCGAUGCUGAUGCCGAUGCCGGUGCCGCUGCCGCUGCCGCCGCCGCUGCCGCCGCCGGUGCCGCUGCCAGCCGGUGCCCGGAAGAAGGAUGCUCCGCGCCGGGCAGGAGCCCCGGGGACGCCGCCAGCUCGCAGGCAGCCCCUGGGGCACCCGGGGCCGAGCCGCCGCCGCCGCCCGCCGCCGCCGCUCCCCGCAGCUCCCCCCGCCCGGCCCCCUCCGCCGCCGCCGCGCCGCCCCGCCCGCCGCCUCCUCCCGCCGCCGGGCCCUGCUGGGGGGCUGCCGGGGCCGCCCCCCCAUUCCCGCCGCCUGCCCGCCGGGCACCGGCGCCCCCCGCCGACCUCCCCCCACCUCGGGCGCUGCGUGCCCUCUGCCCCCCCGCGCUGAGACACCGCGAGGGGGCUGUGACACCCCCACUCAGGGGCGCAGCUCUCCCCGUAAGGCUCCACGUGACGUCGCGCUGCCAUGCGCCGGCAGGACCCACCAGCCCGGGCAGGGGGCUUGUAGCCCGGCCUGGCCAGCGGCUCCACGUGGAAAAAAAGUGCAAAACACUCAAUUUCUUCUGA